This is a non-coding RNA of Pelobates cultripes (western spadefoot toad), 92 nucleotides long. The record is from the annotation of a GenBank genome assembly. NCBI's taxonomy places the organism in Eukaryota, Metazoa, Chordata, Amphibia, Anura, Pelobatidae.
CCUUCGGUAGCUCAGAUGGUAGAGCGGAGGACUGUAGUGGAAUUACCUAAACUGUAAUCCUUAGGUCACUGGUUCGAUUCCGGUCCGAAGGA